Molecule: ribosomal RNA, 324 nt
Filed under: uncultured eukaryote
Lineage: Eukaryota
Description: partial 18S ribosomal RNA
Rfam family: Eukaryotic small subunit ribosomal RNA
Source: RNAcentral
CCCUUAGAUGUUCUGGGCCGCACGCGCGCUACACUGACGGAGUCAACGAGUUGUCCUGCAUCGGAAGGUGUGGGUAAUCUUUUGAAACUUCGUCGUGCUGGGGAUAGAUCUUUGCAAUUUUCGAUCUUGAACGAGGAAUUCCUAGUAAGCGUGAUUCAUUAGAUCGCGUUGAUUACGUCCCUGCCCUUUGUACACACCGCCCGUCGCUACUACCGAUUGAAUGGUUUAGUGAGGCCUCGGGACUGGCGCGCUCGAGUAGCAAUACACCUGCGCGCCGGGAACUUGGUCAAACUUGAUCAUUUAGAGGAAGUAAAAGUCGUAACA